UACGUAGGGGGCUAGCGUUGUCCGGAAUCAUUGGGCGUAAAGAGCGUGUAGGCGGCCCGGUAAGUCCGCUGUAAAAGUCAAAGGCUCAACCUUUGAAUGUCAGUGGAUACUGCCGGGCUAGAGUCCGGAAGAGGCGAGUGGAACUCCUGGUGUAGCGGUGAAAUGCGCAGAUAUCAGGAAGAACACCAAUGGCGAAGGCAGCUCUCUGGGACGGUACUGACGCUGAGACGCGAAAGCGUGGGGAGCGAACAGG
Molecule: ribosomal RNA, 253 nt
Filed under: uncultured bacterium
Lineage: Bacteria
Description: partial 16S ribosomal RNA
Rfam family: Bacterial small subunit ribosomal RNA
Source: RNAcentral